AGAUUAAGUUAUUAAGGGCGCACGGUGGAUGCCUUGGCACUAGAAGCCGAUGAAGGACGUUACUAACGACGAUAUGCUUUGGGUAGCUGUAAGUAAGCGUUGAUCCAGAGAUUUCCGAAUGGGGGAACCCAGCAUGAGUUAUGUCAUGUUAUCGACAUGUGAAUUCAUAGCAUGUCAGAAGGCAGACCCGGAGAACUGAAACAUCUUAGUACCCGGAGGAAGAGAAAGAAAAAUCGAUUCCCUGAGUAGCGGCGAGCGAAACGGAAGAGGCCCAAACCAACAAGCUUGCUUGUUGGGGUUGUAGGACACUCUAUACGGAGUUACAAAAGAACAUGUUAGACGAAUCAUCUGGAAAGAUGAAUCAAAGAAGGUAAUAAUCCUGUAGUCGAAAACAUAUUCUCUCUUGAGUGGAUCCUGAGUACGACGGAGCACGUGAAAUUCCGUCGGAAUCUGGGAGGACCAUCUCCUAAGGCUAAAUACUCUCUAGUGACCGAUAGUGAACCAGUACCGUGAGGGAAAGGUGAAAAGUACCCCGAAGGGGAGUGAAAGAGAACUUGAAACCGUGUGCUUACAAGUAGUCAGAGCCCGUUAAUGGGUGAUGGCGUGCCUUUUGUAGAAUGAACCGGCGAGUUACGAUCUGAUGCAAGGUUAAGCAGCAAAUGUGGAGCCGCAGCGAAAGCGAGUCUGAAUAGGGCGUUGAGUAUUUGGUCGUAGACCCGAAACCAGGUGAUCUACCCUUGGUCAGGUUGAAGUUCAGGUAACACUGAAUGGAGGACCGAACCGACUUACGUUGAAAAGUGAGCGGAUGAACUGAGGGUAGCGGAGAAAUUCCAAUCGAACUUGGAGAUAGCUGGUUCUCUCCGAAAUAGCUUUAGGGCUAGCCUCAAGUGAUGAUUAUUGGAGGUAGAGCACUGUUUGGACGAGGGGCCCCUCUCGGGUUACCGAAUUCAGACAAACUCCGAAUGCCAAUUAAUUUAACUUGGGAGUCAGAACAUGGGUGAUAAGGUCCGUGUUCGAAAGGGAAACAGCCCAGACCACCAGCUAAGGUCCCAAAAAUAUAUGUUAAGUGGAAAAGGAUGUGGCGUUGCCCAGACAACUAGGAUGUUGGCUUAGAAGCAGCCAUCAUUUAAAGAGUGCGUAAUAGCUCACUAGUCGAGUGACACUGCGCCGAAAAUGUACCGGGGCUAAACAUAUUACCGAAGCUGUGGAUUGUCCUUUGGACAAUGGUAGGAGAGCGUUCUAAGGGCGUCGAAGCAUGAUCGCAAGGACAUGUGGAGCGCUUAGAAGUGAGAAUGCCGGUGUGAGUAGCGAAAGACGGUGAGAAUCCCGUCCACCGAUUGACUAAGGUUUCCAGAGGAAGGCUCGUCCGCUCUGGGUUAGUCGGGUCCUAAGCUGAGGCCGACAGGCGUAGGCGAUGGAUAACAGGUUGAUAUUCCUGUACCACCUAGUAUCGUUUUAAUCGAUGGGGACGCAGUAGGAUAGGCGAAGCGUGCUGUUGGAGUGCACGUCCAAGCAGUAAGGCUGAGUGUUAGCAAAUCCGGCACUCAUAAGGCUGAGCUGUGAUGGGGAGAGGAAAUUGUUUCCUCGAGUCGUUGAUUUCACACUGCCGAGAAAAGCCUCUAGAUAGAUAACAGGUGCCCGUACCGCAAACCGACACAGGUAGUCAAGAUGAGAAUUCUAAGGUGAGCGAGCGAACUCUCGUUAAGGAACUCGGCAAAAUGACCCCGUAACUUCGGGAGAAGGGGUGCUCUUUAGGGUUCACGCCCAGAAGAGCCGCAGUGAAUAGGCUCAAGCGACUGUUUAUCAAAAACACAGGUCUCUGCUAAACCGUAAGGUGAUGUAUAGGGGCUGACGCCUGCCCGGUGCUGGAAGGUUAAGAGGAGUGGUUAGCUUCUGCGAAGCUACGAAUCGAAGCCCCAGUAAACGGCGGCCGUAACUAUAACGGUCCUAAGGUAGCGAAAUUCCUUGUCGGGUAAGUUCCGACCCGCACGAAAGGCGUAACGAUUUGGGCACUGUCUCAACGAGAGACUCGGUGAAAUCAUAGUACCUGUGAAGAUGCAGGUUACCCGCGACAGGACGGAAAGACCCCGUGGAGCUUACUGUAGCCUGAUAUUGAAAUUCGGCACAGCUUGUACAGGAUAGGUAGGAGCCUUUGAAACGUGAGCGCUAGCUUACGUGGAGGCGUUGGUGGGAUACUACCCUAGCUGUGUUGGCUUUCUAACCCGCACCACUUAUCGUGGUGGGAGACAGUGUCAGGCGGGCAGUUUGACUGGGGCGGUCGCCUCCCUAAAAGGUAACGGAGGCGCUCAAAGGUUCCCUCAGAAUGGUUGGAAAUCAUUCAUAGAGUGUAAAGGCAUAAGGGAGCUUGACUGCGAGACCUACAAGUCGAGCAGGGUCGAAAGACGGACUUAGUGAUCCGGUGGUUCCGCAUGGAAGGGCCAUCGCUCAACGGAUAAAAGCUACCCCGGGGAUAACAGGCUUAUCUCCCCAAGAGUUCACAUCGACGGGGAGGUUUGGCACCUCGAUGUCGGCUCAUCGCAUCCUGGGGCUGUAGUCGGUCCCAAGGGUUGGGCUGUUCGCCCAUUAAAGCGGUACGCGAGCUGGGUUCAGAACGUCGUGAGACAGUUCGGUCCCUAUCCGUCGUGGGCGUAGGAAAUUUGAGAGGAGCUGUCCUUAGUACGAGAGGACCGGGAUGGACAUACCUCUGGUGUACCAGUUGUCGUGCCAACGGCAUAGCUGGGUAGCUAUGUAUGGACGGGAUAAGUGCUGAAAGCAUCUAAGCAUGAAGCCCCUCAAGAUGAGAUUUCCCAACUUCGGUUAUAAGAUCCCCGAAGAUGACGAGGUUAAUAGGUUCGAGGUGGAAGCGUGGUGACACGUGGAGCUGACGAAUACUAAUCGAUCGAAGACUUAAUCAAUUUUUAAAAAC
Molecule: ribosomal RNA, 2926 nt
Filed under: Staphylococcus epidermidis
Lineage: Bacteria; Bacillati; Bacillota; Bacilli; Caryophanales; Staphylococcaceae
Description: 23S ribosomal RNA
Rfam family: Bacterial large subunit ribosomal RNA
Source: RNAcentral